AUCCAGAUGAUGAGUUUCAAAUAAGACGAGACGGGCGUCCAGGAU
Schistosoma mansoni is the source of this 45-nucleotide non-coding RNA. The record is from Rfam. Lineage: Eukaryota; Metazoa; Platyhelminthes; Trematoda; Strigeidida; Schistosomatidae.